RNAcentral lists this ribosomal RNA (390 nucleotides) under Triticum aestivum (bread wheat). RNAcentral's name for it is "partial small subunit ribosomal RNA". Lineage: Eukaryota; Viridiplantae; Streptophyta; Magnoliopsida; Poales; Poaceae. The record is from RNAcentral.
AUGAUCGAGGAGGAGGUGGUCGCGCUCGGCCGGGGCAUCUGGGCGCACUUCGUCUACAAGGUGCGCUCCGGGGUCCGCCGCCUCGUCGCGUCCGACCAGCUGCUGCUCACCACGCAAUGCCUCAGGGGCGCCUCGCUGCCCCCGUUCCGGCGGACGGGCGGUGGUGCCGAGCAGGCCGGCGCGGCGGGACGAGCUGCAAGGGCGGGGCACGCGGGCCGAGCUGCAGGCGCGCGCGGCGGCAGUGUGAGUUGCCGCCGAGCUCGCACAGCUCCGGGUCGCCUCCAAGCUCGCGCUGCCGCCGCUGCAGUCCACCUCUGGGUUGUUUCCAAGCUCGCGCCGACAGGGAGGGAGGGGGAGGACGCUGGACGGCGGCGAGCGGCGCCGUGGUGA